UCGAGCGCUGAUUUCAAGGUAGCAAUAUUUUGAAGUCGGAGCGGCGCAAGGGUGCGUAACACGUGGGUAAUCUGCCAUGAAGUUUGGAAUAACUUGCUGAAAGGCGAGCUAAUGCCGGAUGUGACAAUUGAGAGGCAUCUUCCGAUUGUCAAAGCUGGGGACCGUAAGGCCUGGCGCUUCAUGAUGAGCCCGCGGCCUAUCAGCUAGUUGGUGAGGUAACGGCUCACCAAGGCUAAGACGGGUAGCUGGUCUGAGAGGACGACCAGCCACACUGGAACUGAGACACGGUCCAGACACCUACGGGUGGCAGCAGUCGAGAAUUUUUCACAAUGGGCGCAAGCCUGAUGGAGCGACGCCGCGUGGGGGAUGAAUGGCUUCGGCCCGUAAACCCCUGUCAUUCGCGAUCAACCCUUAUUACUUAAAAGAUGAUAAGCUGAUAGUAGCGGAAGAGGAAGGGACGGCUAACUCUGUGCCAGCAGCCGCGGUAAUACAGAGGUCCCAAGCGUUGUUCGGAUUCACUGGGCGUAAAGGGUGCGUAGGUGGUGAGGUAAGUCGGAUGUGAAAUCUCGGAGCUCAACUCCGAAACUGCAUUGGAAACUACCUUGCUCGAGGAAUGGAGGGGGGACUGGAAUUCACGGUGUAGCA
RNAcentral lists this ribosomal RNA (645 nucleotides) under uncultured Verrucomicrobiota bacterium. RNAcentral describes it as "bacterial SSU rRNA". It matches the Rfam family "Bacterial small subunit ribosomal RNA", at positions 62 to 680 of the family's 1533-position model. The record is from RNAcentral. Lineage: Bacteria; Pseudomonadati; Verrucomicrobiota.